Paramuricea clavata is the source of this 627-nucleotide non-coding RNA. The record is from the annotation of a GenBank genome assembly. NCBI's taxonomy places the organism in Eukaryota, Metazoa, Cnidaria, Anthozoa, Malacalcyonacea, Plexauridae.
UUACAAGAACACAUUGGUAUUGAAGGAACUAGAUAUUGUUCCGAAAUAUCACUUACUCGAACCGUCCUGACCGCGUAGCUCAGUUGGAAGAGCAUUGGGCUAGUAUUCCAAAGGUCGUAGGUUCGAAUCCCACCGUGGCCGGGCAUAUUUUUCAAGCUCGCCCGGUGUGGAUAUGCACUCAGAGUAACAUCACAAACAUAUUAUUCACCUGAGUACACAACACCAGCACAGAAAAAAAAAAAAAAAUUCAUAUUACAAGAACACAUUGGUAUUGAAGGAACUAGAUACUGUUCCGAAAUAUCACUUACUCGAACCGUCCUGACCGCGUAGCUCGGUUGGAAGAGCAUUGGGCUGGUAUUCCAAAGGUCGUAGGUUCGAAUCCCACCGUGGCCGGGCAUAUUUUUCAAGCUCGCCCGGUGUGGAUAUGCACUCAGAGUAACAUCACAAACAUAUUAUUCACCUGAGUACACAACACCAGCACAGAAAAAAAAAAAAAAAUUCAGAUUUCUAACUGGAAACAUGUUUACCAACACUUGAGCUAAGUUAAACAAAAUAUAGAUAUAUUGAAAUGCAAGAAUUCCGUCAAAUUUUCGUCGUAAAUCACUUGUCUAGUCAUCUACGAAUGAG